This 507-nucleotide ribosomal RNA is filed under the name uncultured bacterium. RNAcentral describes it as "partial 16S ribosomal RNA". It matches the Rfam family "Bacterial small subunit ribosomal RNA", at positions 28 to 523 of the family's 1533-position model. The record is from RNAcentral.
GAUGAACGCUAGCUACAGGCUUAACACAUGCAAGUCGAGGGGAAACGACAUCGAAAGCUUGCUUUUGAUGGGCGUCGACCGGCGCACGGGUGAGUAACGCGUAUCCAACCUGCCCACCACUUGGGGAUAACCUUGAGAAAGUAAGACUAAUACCCAAUGAUAUCUCUAGAAGACAUCUGAACGGGAUUAAAGAUUUAUCGGUGAUGGAUGGGAUGCGUCUGAUUAGCUUGUUGUCGGGGUAACGGCCCACCAAGGCGACGCUCAGUAGGGGUUCUGAGAGGAAGGUCCCCCACAUUGGAACUGAGACACGGUCCAAACUCCUACGGGAGGCAGCAGUGAGGAAUAUUGGUCAAUGGGCGAGAGCCUGAACCAGCCAAGUAGCGUGCAGGAUGACGGCCCUAUGGGUUGUAAACUGCUUUUAUAAGGGAAUAAAGUGGGAGUCGUGACUCCUUUUGCAUGUACCUUAUGAAUAAGGACCGGCUAAUUCCGUGCCAGCAGCCGCCGUAA